This 256-nucleotide ribosomal RNA is filed under the name uncultured bacterium. RNAcentral describes it as "partial 16S ribosomal RNA". It matches the Rfam family "Bacterial small subunit ribosomal RNA", at positions 524 to 776 of the family's 1533-position model. The record is from RNAcentral.
UACGUAGGGGGCAAGCGUUGUCCGGAAUUACUGGGCGUAAAGCGCGUGUAGGCGGGACGACAAGUCCGGCGUGAAAGGCUUGGGCUCAACCCGAGAUGGCCGUUGGAAACUGUCGUUCUUGAGGGCCGGAGAGGAGAUCGGAAUUCACGGUGUAGCAGUGAAAUGCGUAGAGAUCGUGAGGAAGACCCGUGGCGAAGGCGGAUCUCUGGACGGCUAAAACUGACGCUGAGGCGCGAAGGCCAGGGGAGCAAACGGG